This 216-nucleotide ribosomal RNA is filed under the name uncultured bacterium. Its description in RNAcentral is "partial 16S ribosomal RNA". It matches the Rfam family "Bacterial small subunit ribosomal RNA", at positions 1274 to 1500 of the family's 1533-position model. The record is from RNAcentral.
UCAAAAACCGGUACCCAGUUCGGAUUGUAGGCUGCAACUCGCCUACAUGAAGUCGGAGUUGCUAGUAAUCGCGGAUCAGAAUGCCGCGGUGAAUGCGUUCCCGGGUCUUGUACACACCGCCCGUCACACCAUGGAAGUUGGGGCGCCCGAAGUUGCCUAAGAAAUAAGGUACCUAAGGCGAAACCAAUGACUGGGGUGAAGUCGUAACAAGGUACC